RNAcentral lists this non-coding RNA (45 nucleotides) under Schistosoma margrebowiei. The record is from RNAcentral. Lineage: Eukaryota; Metazoa; Platyhelminthes; Trematoda; Strigeidida; Schistosomatidae.
AUCCAGCUGACGAGUCCCAUAUAAGACGAAAUGUGAGUCCUCGAU